AAAAAAGGAAAAAGAAGGAAAGUACAAAUGAAUUGCAGUGUAGUCUACUUCAAACGUGCAAAUAGUAUUUUUGCUUUUCUUCUUCUUCCUCCUCAAACCUAAGCAUGUAGAUUAUGCCAUCAAGGAUACUGAACAUUGUUUUCAUGUGUUCCUGGGGAAGUAAGAAACAAUAUUGGGCAACUUAAAUAUCUGAAAAUAUAAUAGAUUUAUAAACGUGCAAAUAAAAUUCCUGAUAAAUUUAGAACUAGAUUUAGAAACUACAGUUUCAUCAUAAUUUGAACAAUACAUUUGCUUUUAGAAAAUUUAAAAUUAUUUUUGAAAUCGAGCUACACUUGGUUGAAGCACAUAAGCUAUGUAUUGUGUGCUCGAAUGGGAUCAAUAAAUUAGGUGUUUGACAUUUUUGUUCUUUAGUUGGCGUUGAAUUGAGUUGCACUUCUUUAAUUAAAUUUAGUUAACCAUAUAACACCAAAAGACAGUAUGUUUUACUGUCAACUUAGUUUACUCUCUCUUGGGUUGUCACUGCGUAAACAUGUUUAUAACCUAUAACAGUGGUAGCCAUUUGUGGGAACUAUAAGUAUGGCUCAUAUUCUUGUUCUAUUAUGGAUUAGAAUUGGAUUGUGUGCAAGAUUGCUUUCACUUUAGUGUUCCACAUAAAUUUCAGGCUUUUGUUUUCCCCAUAUAUGACCAUAUAAUUAUCAUUAUUUUUUCUAAAAUAAUUGAAGAAAUUCUUUUAAAGGUUUGUCAAGAAUGACUCCUUUGCAUUUUACAUAUAUUUCACCUUUUUGUGGCAUUCAACAAUCAUCCAUCAUGAUACUGUAAAGUGCUUGCAUUGCAUAAGAAGGACAAGGGGUUUUGAAACUGUCAAUUGAAUCUAACAAUCUAGGCUACAGUGCGUGCUUUUGUUGCUCCAAGAGAAUAUUUUUACGCUCUAAUCUUUGACGGUAUAGAACCUCCAUAAUGGCCUUCUCAAAAUUGCUAUAAGUUUAAAUUAUGAGGGUCCUUAAUUAGGAGAGAUUCCACAAACAAUUCAUAGCAAGGCUAUUUAUCUAAGCUGAAUUCAAUAAGUAAACCCAUUUGAAAGCGAGUAAUGGAUAGUAGAUACCAUUGGGUCUUGUCUUUUGACAGAAAGUAGACUUGUCAAUAUGAGUGUGUUGAACCUUACGUCCAGAUGGAUACAUGGUUUCGAAGUGCCAACUUGAGACGCAAGUCAGAAAUGAGGAACAUUACAAUUUUUUUCUUUUGCAAUUCAUUAGAAUAUUUAUCAUAUAAAUAUACAUUGUUUUCUUCUCGGAUUGCUUUAUCACCAUUGAUUUUUGUUUUUCUUUAUCCUUGCUUUUCCGUAUAUGAUUGUUAUGCUACUUCUUGCCCUAUAUAUUUUUUCACAGUAAAACAAUGCAAAUAAUUAGUAGUCAGUGGUCAAGUGGAGUGGGGAGGGGGUGAGUGCCAUACUCGGGCAAGGAAAACCUGCGAGAUGGGGGAAAUACCCCCAUUGCCUCUGCCCCUCUCCCACUUACCCUGAUGUAAUCAAUGAUUUCACCACUAGGAUAAGUGCCUAGAACAUUUUUUCCCCAUAUGUUUGAAGUAUACUAAAACUGCAAAUUUUGAAUUUCAGGUGCUGCUAGCAAAUAGUAAUCAGCUUGGUGAUCAUUAUGCCUCCAAACAUCCAAAAGAAAAGCCUCCUGAAUCAAGUUGAUCUAUUUCUCUCUUGUAAAAAUGCGAAAAUAAUAAAAAUAAAAAGAAAGAAAAAGCUUUCCGUGUGUGAUCAUUAACCAUUAAAUGUAUGUCAACUGAUGGAUGUGACUAUUUCAUUAUCUGGACUAAGUAAUUGACUAUGCAUUGUAUGGUUUUCCUCUGGAUGAGCUUUUGCAUGGUUUUGGAGGUGUAUAAAGUUCAUGAUCUGCAACUAUAUUUAAUAUUAGAAUAUAUG
Molecule: unclassified non-coding RNA, 1927 nt
Filed under: Hevea brasiliensis (rubber tree)
Lineage: Eukaryota; Viridiplantae; Streptophyta; Magnoliopsida; Malpighiales; Euphorbiaceae
Source: RNAcentral